Molecule: RNA transcript, 7170 nt
Organism: Pomacea canaliculata
Lineage: Eukaryota; Metazoa; Mollusca; Gastropoda; Architaenioglossa; Ampullariidae
Exons: 8
Source: RefSeq, a predicted model, not a curated record
AAGGUUAUUCACGGAAGAUUAUUCAAGGAUUUUUCGAGGGAGGUUAUUCAAGGAAGUUUCAAGGACGAUUAUUCAAGGAAGUGUAGAUGUUUGUGUAAGAGUGAGCGUCUCUGGACAUCAUCCAAACCAAAGUUGAACGCCAUUUCGCCCUUCCUCACCCCUGGCUUCCCAUCGAGGUACAAGCACGCUGAUUGGUGGGAUGGAGCAGCGUUUACGUCAAACCAUUCAUCACGGACGUUCGCCGAGACUCACUCUUAGCGUAUUGCGGAGCUCUCCGCUGUUAGAUUCGGCGAACCAGAGGACGACUUCACUUCCGGAAGAGCAGCGCGAAAAUGGAAUUAAACGAGACUUUUGAUAUCAAGAAUAUAAUCAUCCAAAUAAUGAAGAUGAAUGCCUCAGCGAAGCUGUAGCACUUGUAGGAAAUUAUUUCUGAGAAAAACAGAGCAGCAUUUUCUGGACCUUUGAUUUUGGGCACCAUAUGUAUCUGCUAUGUAAAACAUGAGCAUAAAAGGCAAGUGAAGAAAACACCAAAAGUUCUUGUGCAAACAAUGCAAGGAGUUUCUCUGUACCUUCUUGUGCACUGAAGACUGCCGGACGUCUAAGGACUUUACUUCUGUAUAAAAUGUUCAGGUCACAAAUUAUUUCACACUUGCUGGUAAAUUUCAGGCUGAAUAUUUUGUACUAAGAAGAAAGCUGUGUGUGGACUAAAGUUUAUGUGUUCUUAUUAAGCAGCAGUUUGUUUGUGGAGCUUCAUUGUGAAUAUGUGUUCGCCGCUGUGGUAUUCAGUUUUGUCAAUUGUGGAGUUUUAUUGGAUAUCUCGUCUAUAUACCAUCCAGUUAUCUUCAUAGUGGAGUUUUUUCAUUCUGGAUAUGUCUUCACCUGUGCAGCAUUCAGUUGUCUUUAGCCAGGAAGUUUUGCUAUAAUUCACAUGUGUAAUAUUUAUUUUUUUAAUAUAUUUUGGAUGAAUUCAUUAUUUACAACCAUUUCUAGUCAAUGGAAUCUACAUCAAGACUGAAUAUGCUUCAUUUUUUGAAGAGGAGUGUAAAAUCCUAUCAUUUGUGCGACAGAAAAUUGAGUGAAAUGGUGUACUUGCCACAUGGAAAAAAUUAGCUGCAGUGUCACCUCCAUGGUUGAUCUUUAUUGCCAUCAGGAAGAGAUUGAAGGGGAAUUUGUUCACAACAAGAAACAUGUACCGACUUGAAUUUUUACCCUCCUACGAAUGAUGUUUUAUCAGUUGAUGAAAACGAUUUUGUCAACGUGACAUUCUGGAUUAAGGAGAUGGCAUGUAGCCAGACGAUUUUUUUUCAUAAAGUGACUGUUCAUACCAAGACAAACACUGGUAUUCGUGAGUAUGACGGUACGGUAACAUACAGUAAUGACAAGUGCUCUGGAAGACAGUCUAUUCAGUGCAUCAGUCCGACAGGCCCAGCAACGUUGUACAAACAAGUGAAUCGAUCUCAUGUGCUAAUCGAAUGGGAACUGACGUCAAUACCAUCUGGUGACUUUAUAUUAAUACAGAAGAAGCUCAAUGUUUUGUAUCCACCUGAUGUCACAAGUUUCACUGUGAACGGAAGUGAGGUCAGUGGUAACUAUCUGAUUAAUGAAUUCCAAGAGGUUAGCAUCUCCUGCACCUUUGACCCAGGAAAUCCACCACGCAAAUUCUUUCUGUUGGAUAAAGCUGGAAAUGAAAUAAAAGCUACUAGAGGUGAAGACUCUCUCAACCUUUCACUGACACUCAGGUGUCAACACGACUGGCCCACAGUCCGAUGUGAGGGAAGCGGCUCGAAAACUGUGUCUUUCCUUGUCAGAUGUCGUCCUCAGUUUAUUGACAGGUAUCCAACAGUUGUGAAUAGUGGAACAGUGAAUAGUGGAACAGUUUACCGUUGGAUGUUUAAUGUGAAGGCUUACACUACUGUUGUAGAAAAAUGUCUUCUGACAUCAUCAUCUGCGCACAAUUCAAGCAUCUUAGUGAAGUGUACCCUGACUGGUGAUCUGCCUUACCCGCUGUUGAUUGUUGUCAUUUUUGAAAAUGUCAGUAUGGCAAGAACAACCUGGUUUUUAAGUCUGUGUGUUGAAGGAGGUCUUUCAGAGACAUUGAACUUCACAACACCCCAAAGUGAGUAUAUUUUAAACUCUUUCACAUACUUCAAUAAACUAAGGGCAUAGUAACUUUUAAUCCCAAAUCCAUCGUGAUAAAAGUUUCUUUAAAAACACACGACCUUGAAGGAUGUCUUAAGACUAGGGAUAGCGGUUGAAAACGUUUGGAUAAACAUCCUAAUCAACACCUCAACAAAUGUAAUUGCCCUUAUGGAUUGAUUAAGUUGUAUUGUAUCAAUAAAGUUGAAGCUGUUUGUUCCCUGUAUUCUGAACUUUAAAAAUCUUUACUGAGACUAUACUGUGACUCAUCCUUUCCGUUAACAGCAUUAUUAGUCUACUGUUAAAACGGAAUGUUUCUAAUUUCUAUCUUUUGAAUAAGGAGAUAGUAAAUAUGAAACAAUAUGAUUUUACUGUCUUUCAAAACCAGCAACAGCAGAAAACUAGAAAUUAAUUGUAACGACCUAACAAAAACGAACCCGAAAGCUCCAUCCUGAAUCUUAUAGAUAUCUCAUAUGUUUCCUUCAGUUAUUUUUCAAAUUGUUUUGUAAUUUUAUCUUUUAUUUCUAUACUGUGUUAUGAAACUUAGACUAUGAGUUCUUUUGUUGUAUGCGCAUCAAUUAUGCGUAGUACUGCGUCUGCGUACAAUCACCGUGCUGUUCACAUAAACUAUAUUGGAAAUGUGCAGCAAUGGAAGAGUAUUAAGACAGAGGUGUGUGUAUGUGUCUGGGUGGGGGAUCGGCCAAAUUUAUUAUAUUUUUUCGGCAGCGGGACGAGGCAGAUGACACUGGAGACGGUGAGCCACUUCCCUUGCCAGUGUCUUAAACCUCGGGUAGGGAGGAACGCGACUAUUUUCUCAGCUUCUUAUUUUUUACUGACAAGGAAUAGUCAUCCCUCUUAGUGCUGGGGCUAGAAAUUUCCAGCAGACCUUCUCCCUAUGUAAUGCGAGUGUGGGUAAAAGGCAAUAGGAGAAAAAACAACCAUGCUGAUCGGAGAAUAUGGGUUUUACCGCAGUUUUUCUAUUUCGCGUUCCACUGUUGACACAUUUCCAUCGAAGAUUACAGUGAAGUCUGAGAAGGAGACAAAAGUUUUCUCUAAUAUCGCUAGUCUCCAUCUACGGCAGUGGAAUGUUAUUUGUUCUCCAUAUUCAGAGAUACAGGCACGGACCUCCACACCUACUAUGCAGUAAGAAUUUUGAUUUUAAUGAUUCGUUACAUAUUAUGUUUUAUUAUCGUGUUUGAUUGUCUUCUUUUCUUUUAAAAUAAAUUUUGUGUCGACUGGCACAGUCAUUUGGUUAGGGCGGAGGUAUGAAAGCUGAAAUCCAUGUACAUGUUUCAUAGUGUGAAUCAACUGACACCGAACAAACUCCACCACAAAGACAUAUAUUCUUUCUCUUUCAUAUUUUAUUUACUUCCUUCUUUUGAUUUCCUUUGUAGGAGAUUUUCUAUUUAUUUAUUCAUCUUGAAGUGCUAUUUUAAGUUCCAUAAUACAAUCAUUUUACUGUGCAAAACUUAUAUUGGUGCGAAAAAGAAUAUUUAUGGGAAGCUUCCAUUCCCAUAUGCUAACAUCAUUUUUGAUGCACAUGUUAUUAGACAAUAAUCUAUGUACAUACACUUAAAUCCAAACUAUCAGAUAUUCCAUCACACCCUCCAGAUACAGUUACGAGCCAGUCAAAGCUUAAAAUAUAAUCUUUAUAAUGUUUAUAUUGUAACACCUGCUACAGAGAGUAACCACGGUUGAAGGAAGUGCGAUUAGAGAAUUAUAAUAUAGUGGAACAUGAAUAACAUGAAAAUGAUCUGUUAUCUUUACAUACAAAUUUGCCAAACGUUCAAGAUUUAUGCGUUUAAGAAGGGAUUUGAACCAUAAGCCGUGAAGUCUGACUACAUCUCUGUGCUUGAAGUCCGAGAGUAAAAGCGUCGACAGGUGAGAUGUAUGAGUAGUCUCCCCACAGCAACAGAAAGGCUCAGGUAAGCUCACCCACCCGUUACUUGACUUCACAAGAAAAUGAUGAAAGCGAGUUUUCUACCAAAAAAAAAAAAAAAAUGUUUACUAUUCUUCCUUAGCGUGCGUCAUCUACAAGACAGACACGAUUAAGAAAAACAAAAUAACUUGCAACUGAUAAACACAAGCUAGCUAUAACCGUUGUCAAUGGCAAUAUUCUGACUUUGUUAAGAGAUCGAUUCUAUUGUUUUUUAUUGUCGCAAACCAAGAAUUAAAAUCCUUUUUCGUAAAUCUUAAGUGCUUUAAAAAAUAGCAUCAAGAUAAAUUCGUGGAUAAUUUUGGUAAAAAGAAAGGUUUUAAGCAAUGAUUUAUGUAAGCUAAUAAGUAUCAUAAAACAGAAAAAGUUCGACCCAAAGCAGCAAACGUUCGCUAGCUAAAGAAAUUUUUAAUGUAAUUUACGGGUAGAUAAUAUGGAAGUGAUGGAAGGAUAGUAUUUGUAUUGAAGAAUUGGUAUAAUAGUGACAUGAUAGUGUAUUUGUGCCGAGAAUGGAGAAAUAAACUAUUGUACAAGUAUUAUUCACUCGUUGUUCAUAGAAUGCUUUUCGAAUAUUUGACAGGCGGGAUGACUGACACUGCUCAAGCUGAUGAUGCUCGUGGCUCAGCAAAGAUAAUGAAGCGUUCAACCGUUUCCCGCGAGAGACACCCAGAUGGGUUGAUUUACGGAGACUUGGACUUCACGAGUACGAGACCAUGUGAUGACGUCAUCGACACCCUGCCGGAAAUGGAGUACGCCGCCAUUAACCAAGUGAUUACAGACGAAAGACCAAUAAGAUCAUUUAAAAGAAAUGUAUUGUUGGGCAACAGAUAAAUAUACGAAAUAUUACAGACUAUCAAUAAUCCCGCUUACAACAACAUUCUUUUUCCUAUAUGCUCAAAAAAGAAAAAUGUAACGGUCUGACCGCAUGGUAAGCUGACUUACUCAAGCCUGUAAAAUGUACACAAUCAGUAUAAAAUUAUGACAAGAUUGUCUGAAACGAUUCCCUUUUACUCAAAGAGCUUUAAAUAGCUUUGAAUCCACAACUAUUUGAAUUUAGCCUUUGCAGUUGAGCUGAGUGUAUAAAAUAGCUUUCCAUCAUUUAUUUCUUCUCUUUAUUAUUUUCUGCAUUUGAAAAUGAAAAUUUCAAUAAUUUGAAUUACUAUAUUACCUUUCCUCUUUUCGAAGUAGAACAAUGGAUAUAUCAAAAGUGAAGGACUUACAACAUUUUAAGUAGAAGAAUAGAGUGUGGAAUUACCAGCUCGUCACAAACACAGGGCUCAUUGUAAGCUUCUUUACAGAAGAGGCUUAGACAACCACAGAUUUCUUGAGAUUUCUUAAACAGCAAACGCUCGAGAUACGUUGGGAAGUGUAGUGAAAACAAAGAAAUCUUCAUUAAUUUAUUUUCAAAUUAUUGCCCCUCAUUCUCACGCUCUCACUAGUUUAUUUAAGAGAGAGACCUAAUUAUCCGUUACAUACACACGUGUGACGUGGGUGAGGAUUGAUGAAAAGGUGGAUGUGUUUUAUUAUUUACAGAAGACAGAUAAAAUGAACUAUGAGUCAUCAAGAAGAGCAGAUGUGUGCCACUCAAUUUCAUGGAAUCAUAGUUUCUAUAAAUCAAAAAGGUUUUGUAACUGUCUUCUACAUUUGAUACCCGCUAUUAGACUUAAAAGAAUGAAACCAUGAAAGCCUGCGAAGCUUGGAUUUGACAACAUGUGUGUGUUAUUGAGAUAAAGUGUAAUUUAUAAGAACGCGGAAAUAUCGCACUCUUGUCUUGAACCAUACUAUUUAAAUUAGCUGUACAUCCUUAAUAUUGAGAACGUCCUCCUUUAGUCUUCCUAAUCAUAAAGUAAUCAAGGGCAGCGAGAGAUAGAGAGAGAGAGAAAGAGAGAGAGAGAGAAGGAGAGAAAGAGAAUAGAAGAUAAGAGAUAAAACAUACAAAUAUAAACACAAAUGUUAUUAUGUGCCACUUACAGUCAAUGAAAAUAUGUAAAUAUACUGAUAAAAAUGUUUUUAUUUCUUAGACCUACCUUUUUUGGUCAUGUCUUUUGCAUUAUUUUCUAGAAUGCCUGUUAUUAAAUGUCUUAAUUGUAACAAACCAUUUUAAACAAAUCCCUGUGUGAAAGUUUAUUCAGAAACUGAGACAUACAGAGUCACGAAUACUCAAUAUUUAUAAUUUUUUCUUUCAACUUUCUGUCUUGAAGGAGGCAAACAGACUAUACCUCCUGAUUUUAAGUUCUGUUUUCAAAUAAGUUCUCGCUUUUGCAAGUAACCCAAUUAAACAAAACAAAAAAAAUUAUAUCAAAAGAAAACACCAUAUUUCAUAUUUUUGAAAAUCAUUUUAUAGACUGAUAUUACUGCCGUCUGCAAAUCAAACGUGCAACGGAAAGGUUAUCUCCCUUAAACAUAACAUUGAUCAGUAUUAUCUGAACACUGUACUAAACCUCUUUCAAAAUUACGCAUUUUUGUGAAUCACUUAGAAUGACACUGCACAAUAUUUUCUAAAUAAAUUAAUAAAGUGGUCAAGUUUUUAGUUUUUCUAGGAAUGCUGGUUGUUAUCAAUGACUAGAUAUCUCCUUUUUAAACUAAUGAGUGCAGUAUUCUAAUUUAUCAGCAUUUCAUCAAGGGGGACAAACUAGAAAAGUCAUCGUAAUCGAAACGGGCGCCAGGGUAGGUAUAAUAAUUAUGUGUGUUUGUAUGUUUUCAUAAUUUGAUUAUCCAGUAAACUUAAUGGAAGUUUGAGUGCGGGGCUGUCUGACAGGCCAGACCAAACACCAUAAGCGCAGGCAAACAGCAAACUUCUUGAGUCUUUGAUACCGAGAUGAGAAACCGAACUAGUAAAUACAAACAGAAUAAAUAAUUAUUUGCAGUUGAACCCGACAAUCUGGCCAGAGUAAAAGAUGAAUUAAGAUAUUAUUUCGUUCUUCAAAUCCCAUCUUUAUUCAUCUUAUUUUGCAUAGAUCACACGACCAUUCAUUGCUAUUGUCAUUAAUGUUACAUAGUAACUUUUUUGGAGUCAUUCACCUUAGAGUUUUAUGAAUGUUUCACACCAUUCACCACUUCUGUAUGUGAAGUCAAAUAAUUAAAUUGCUGUGUUCAAG